This 28-nucleotide small RNA is filed under the name Bombyx mori (domestic silkworm). Its description in RNAcentral is "ovarian small RNA-31250". Lineage: Eukaryota; Metazoa; Arthropoda; Insecta; Lepidoptera; Bombycidae. The record is from RNAcentral.
UGAAUUGCAGUUACGACUACGGACAAGU